AAAUCUUGGGUAUUACCACACAAAUACAAACACUAGCUUGAUUAACUAAUUCGAUUUACUACCCGAAACUAACACGGGUGGGUAGGUAGAGAAUACCUAGGGGGCGAGACAACUCUCUCUAAGGAACUCGACAAAAUAGCUUUGUAACUUUGGGAGAAAGGGUACCUCCUCACAAAGGGGGUCGUAGUGACCAGGCUCGGACAACUGUUUAUCAAAAACACAGGUCUCCGCAAAGUCGUAAGACCAUGUAUGGGGGCUAACGCCUGCCCAGUGCCGGAAGGUCAAGGAAAUUGGUAACCUGAUGACAGGGGAGUCGGUGACCAAAGCCUCGGUGAACAGCGGCCGUAACUAUAACGGUCUUAAGGUAGCGAAAUUCCUUGUCGGGUAAGUUUCGACUCCACGAAAGGCGUAACGAUCUGGGCACUGUCUCAGUGAGAGGCUCG
RNAcentral lists this non-coding RNA (443 nucleotides) under Gossypium hirsutum (cotton). Its description in RNAcentral is "Bacterial large subunit ribosomal RNA". It matches the Rfam family "Bacterial large subunit ribosomal RNA", at positions 1585 to 2035 of the family's 2925-position model. Lineage: Eukaryota; Viridiplantae; Streptophyta; Magnoliopsida; Malvales; Malvaceae. The record is from Rfam by way of RNAcentral.